GAAAAAAAUAAUUUCAGAACCAUUCAUUAAUUCAACAAACAUUUAUUGAGCACCUACCACAUACCAGAAUUUUGAAAUCGGUAUUGCUUUUGGGGAUUUAUUUUUGUAGUUUGGAUUUCAAUUUGAGUUUGAAUUCUAGGUUUGCAGCCUAUCUAGCUGUGGGAGAAUGAACAAGUCCUUUAACAUCUGUAUCUCAGUUUUUCUGCCUAUAAAAUGGGAAUAAUAAUUGCACCUAAUAACGUUGCUGUAAAAUUUAAUAAUAUAAUCACACAAAACGCUUACAAAAAAAAGAAGUUUCUGCUUGUGAAGGGCACUUCAAAUGAGGUCUCCCAUAUCCCUUUACGGAUAUGUGUCUCUUCUCCUUUGCCAUUAGGAGUAGUUACGUGGGCCAGUUUGGGAACUCUGUGUGCCAAGAAUUAUGCUAGAUGAUGAGGAUACAGAGAUGACUAAAACACAGGCCCUGAUCUCCAGGAUCUUAUAAUGAGGGAAAGAAAACAUUCCCAAGUAGACACUGAAUUCCUGGAGGAUAGGGAACCAUCCCCUAAUUGUCAUUGAGUAAAUUAAACACACAGCUUUCUCUUCCUAUAAUGAUCAGUUAACAAACAUUGCCUGAGCUCCUUGCCCUGUGGGCAAGGCUGUGCUGGCAAGGCUGUGCUGGGUGCUGGUAAUACAGCAAUAAAUCAGUCACAUGCCAAUCCCUCAGGUGGACCUUCUGGUACGGGAAAAAUCAAUGGAGCAGAGACUCACUAGACCCUGAGGGCACUGCACUCAGCUGAGAAGCACUAGAAGCAAAGAUUUGCAGAGGAAGUGAGUUCCAAAUGGGGUGACAUUUAAGACAGAAUCACCCUGCUUUGGGAAAUAUAUCACUUCAACAACAACAAAAAGCAGUGUUACCAACUAUGAAAUGAAAGGAGAUGCCCUUUUGUUUUGUUUCACUGAAGUGAGUUUUUAAAUUAUACUUUUGUAUGUAAAAAAAUUUCUUCAUGGAACCUGUGACAAAACCAUGACAAAUAGCCCCAGACUAAAUUUAAAUUCAUUGGGAUGGCAGUGGCUCCGAGGGUUUCUAUGUUCUCUGUCUUUAAAUUUUUUUGAUUGUCAUAAAAAAUACAUAACAUAAAAUUUGCCAUCUUAACCAAAGAGGGUGGUAGGAAACUGAUUUUGUGAUGCAUAUCUAAACACACACCUGGAAGAUAUUAAUGUAUCGAGACUGAAGGAGCCCGAGAGAGCAAUUUUUUGUGGGAAAAAUUGAUGUACUAUGCAACUUCUUCUACCACUAAAAUGGAGGAAGAGAGAAGGUUCUAUCAUUCACCUUAAGCCAAGUAUGAAAGGGUGCUUUAGUAAAACCACUAAGAGAGCUUGGCAUGUGAACCUGGAGUUUGAGGGGGCUGCAUAAAUUCUGGCAAGAGAAACUGGCUGUGUUGAACUAGAGUGGAAGAUUAUAGAGAGAAAAAGCUACAUACAGAGUAAAUUGCUUCUCACUGACAAGAGGGCAAGAAUGUGUAUUGUCUGUGACCAAAUUUGAAACACAUGUGAAGGUGAUUGCUUGGCGCCAUUUUGAAUUUUGCCCAAGCAUAAUUGAAUUUACCUGGGUUCAUGGUAGGUCCCAGUGGAGAGUCUGUGGGCUGGAAUAGUCCAAUGCCCAGGAACUGAGGGUAGAAACUGUAAGUUGACAGCCAGAGAAAAUGCAUCAUGCAAAAACAAGUUGAAAGGCCUCAGCAGUUAUCUCUGAGGAACCUAUGUAUUUGCCUCAUAAGAUGAAGAAUUCAUCACAUCCAUAAUGCACCAAGAUCAGCUAGCGUCUUUUACCAGUUGUGAUGGUUAAUUUUAUGUGUCAAUUUGACUGGGCCCAUACAUUUGGUCAUACAUGAUUCUAGGUGUAUCUGUGAGAGUGUUUUGGAUGAGAUUAAUAUUGGAAUCCCUAGAUGGAAUAAAGAAGAUGGCCCUCCCUAACGUGGGUGAGUCCCAUCCAAUCAGUUGAACACCUGAAUAAAAUAAAAAUACUAACCCUCCUGUGAGUAAGAGGGAAUUCGUCCUGCCUGAUUGCCUUCAAAUGGGGACAUUAAUUUUUUCCUGUCUUCAGACUUGAACUGAAGCAUCAGCUCUUCCUUGUCUUGGGCCUACUGGCCUUCAGACUGGAAAUACAUCAUCAGCUCUCCUGGGUAUCCUGCAGAUCUUGAGACUUGUCAUACUCCAUAAUUAGAUGAGUAGCCUAAAGCUCAAAGUGAAAACUUUCCCAAGAUCACACACCUAGCAAGUGUUGGAGUUCAGCUGCUAUGCAAACUGAGAAGGACCAAAGGUAUUCUUAGAUAAAGUAAGUAGUAGUAUUUACAGCACUUUUGAAUCUGGGAGAAAGUGAAGUACAGACAGAUUAGUAAACAAAGAACUGUGAAUCCUUAGAUGGCUCCACCAACUAAUCAAUUCGAGUCGAUUAUUGCCUUCCCAGUUCUGAAUUAGGAUGCUUGCUUGCAGUGUGACUUAUUUAGUCAGCAUUAUUUUACGACUCUACAAUUUUCUCUCUUUAUCUGAAAUGAUCCAGCCUAAAACUCCCUGAAAAUGCCGGGCAUUAAGUAUAUCACAAUGGUAAUUCUUUUGACUGAAGCCUUAUUUGAUUCAGUGGAAAAUGACUUCAGUGUAUUGGAUUUACAGUUCAUUUAAUGAGUGUUGUAGAGGUCAAUACAUUAGUGUAAACUUGGUUCAGGUAGUAAUUUGGUUUCUAAUGAGGUUCCCAAGCAGCAUCCUACUAUGAAAAGUAGGAUAGUGCUCAGUGGGCAUAGAAUAUAACUGUCUAAUCAGACAUAAGAAAUGUGCCAGUUGUAUACUACAAUAAUGCUAUGAUUGUUUGACUUCUUUAGGAUUCAGUUUCCAUUUCUGUAAGAUGAGCAGGUUAAACAAAGGCCCUUGAAGCUCUGAACUGUUUUGUAUUUUCUCGGUAAUCUUAAGAAAUCUCCCAUCUUUAGGACAUGUGCUUUGUAAUGGAGAUGGAUUUGCAUGAGCCAUUUGUGCUGUGAUAUGCACUCCAUACCAAAACCAUGGCUCCACAAAACCUUGUCUGACAAUUGAGUUGUGUUUCUGAAUGUCUUGCAAGCAAGACAAUGACUGCUUGUUGUUCUGGACUAUUUUCUUUAGGAUGUUUAUAUAGGGAAAAGCUUGGCAAUAUGGAGAUAAUGUCUAUGGAACAAAGGGAAGGCAUGCUUACUGCCUAUUAUGAAUGAUUCUAUAAGCUCAAGUUCUCUAAGUUCAGGGUGCCUCUCCUGUAAUGCAACCCACUUCAUGCACAGAUGACAUUUGGUCCUCCUCACAUUGCCCUGUUGGAAUCUGCACUCCAAAACCAAUGCAAAAAUGACGAUACUCUGGCCACUGCUGUUGCUGUGAGUGAUAAAUUUUCUUUCAUCUGUCAUCUAGGAGUCUCGUAUUUACUACUGGUAUCCAUGAAACUGUAGUAGGCCAACUUGCUAGUUUGAAAGUAGAGUAAAAUCUCAGACCCUUCAAGGUCCUUGACAACCCUAGUCCACAGUCACUUUCCUCUUUUAUUACCACUAUAGCACCUAGCCUCUGAACAAUCCAACUCAAAACACAUUAUGUCUUUUGUUGAAUUGUUUUACAUGUUAAUUUUAUCUCCCAACUAGAUCAUAAGCAUGCGAGAGAGGCACCAUGCCAAUGUUUUUUCUGUCUACCCUGUAGCAGCUGGCACAGGCAUGGGUACAUAGUACGGGCUCAAUAUAUAUUUUUGAUUUACUUUGGUUAUAUGCAUACCAGCUGAAGUAAAAUACUCCAUGCUUUUUAUCAUUGAACUUGCCUUGGAUGUCUUCUUAUAGUUGAAAACAAUAGAUGUACUCUCCUAGAAAUAGAAAAGCUCUAAUGAGAGAUGAAGAAACCAUUUUUCAGGCUUCUAGGAUGCAAGGCAUAUACAUUCUUUAAUCAGUUGGACAUCAUUGACUAAGGGGCCAAUUACAAAGCUAUUCUGAGUCCCACAUUUCCCAAGAUGUUUGUUGUGCUGGGCUGCUAAUAAUUAUCAUGUUUUGGCAGCUGAAGAACUAGAAUAUAGUCUCUGUUUUUGUAGAAAUCAAUGGCCCCAGGAGGUUAUCUAUACCAGCCUACUGUCUGCAACAUCAGUGGGAGCUUAUUUGGCAUUUGAUACCAAUCCCAGAAGAGGAUAUGAAUCCCUGAGUGCAUUUCCCAAUGGCACACGCUCGCUUCUUGUUUUCUUGUAAGUAUCCUAUUAUUAAUGGCCCAUUAUACCAGAAACAAAAAUGUCUAUAUACGCAUUUUCAUUUAGUCUGUCAUUGUUUCCAAUGGUCUGGAUUAUUCGAUUAGUCUCAAUCCAGUUUUCUUUGAGGGAAUAUGGAGACACAAGAGUUGUCUGUCUUUAGUGCUAAAACAUUAAAACUUAGGGCUCUUUCUUAUGGCUAUAGCCUUGAAGAUGCACUCCUUAGCUCCAUAACAUUGUGUUCUUUUCUUUUCUUUUCUUUCCCUUUUCUUUUCUUCUUUUCUUUUCUUUCUUUUCUUUUCUUUUGUUUUCUUUUUUUCUUUCUUGUUGUCAGGACUGCAACACACUCUCAAUUCAGUCUUCCUGAGUGCAACUGAUACAAUUUUACAGAUGUGGCAUGGUCAUCAUUUUCUAACUUUAGCUUUGCUAAUCUGGCAUUUUCUAACUUUAGUUUUGUUAAUUCAGGCUGUUCCUUCUCACUUAAAAAUAUUUCCUCUUAUUUGAAUUUGAGUAUGCUGCCACCAAGUGGUUGCCCGUUCUUUGAUUAACAUGGUCUCAUAAUUCAAACUGCAGGCUGCACUGUUUCUAUUGCUGUUGUUGGUGUAUGUGUCAGGAUUGGGAUAGUGAAUGCCUAUUAAUAGUUGAAGGUAUCAGGUAUUAGAGGGAAUUAGGGCAAAUCUUCAUGAAACAGCAGGAAGAUAUUGAAAAAUAAAAAUGGGCUGUAACUUGAGGAGGGGAGAGGAAGGGCAGUAUGUGUCCAAAGAAUGAGAUCAGGAUUAGAGGAGAUGUGGAGUAGAGGGAACAGAGAAAUAAUAGGAAAAAGGGAAAAUGACCCAGAUUUAAGAGAACUUGAUCGCUGAAACAAUUUUCAUCUUUUGUUUCUGUACUUCCUAUGGUUCUUGUACUUAUUAGGGACUACAAAUACCAAGAUAGAUGCAUUAUCUUGAGCAGGAUUCUGUCUUGUAUAUAUUUGUAUCCCUCACAGUGUCUAAUGUAGUGCUGGGCACAUAGUUGGUUCUUAAUAAAGGUCUGCAUGAAUGACCCAAACCUGCAAGAGUUGAGACAAUAUAUAGUGUAGGCAAGGGGUGCUGGCUUGAGGCACAGGGGCAGCUCCUAAUGAGCAAGCCUUGACAGUGUCUUGCCUCUAUCAAGCUGAUGCCUUGCACAACUUUAGCUGGCUCCUAUGAUCAAUCUUCCAAAUUAGAACCUUCUCCAAAUCUUCUCAGGAAGGUACUUACAUGCCCCCUCCUUCCUCCUCCACUACCUUCUCCAUUCUUUCCUCUUCUCCCUCCUCCUCUCCUUCCUCUACUCCCUCCUUUUCUUCCUCCUCUUCCUCUUUCUCCCCUUCCAAGGCUCUUGAUGUCUUCAUACCUCUGAACAAGUCUGGGUGGUUGGAAACAGAUGACCUCUGGAAGCUUUUGAUUGGAGGAUGAGAGAUCUAGAGUUCUUUCCAUUCGUAAGAUGUAUAGGGAAUGACUGUAUAGGGCUUUCAAAAAAUGCAUAUGAAAAUUGGGGAUUGUUCUAUGUAAGAUGUUUGCUGAAAUUAAUACCUUAGACACAGUCUCCAGAAAGGGGUUUACUCCUGCAUGAUAACAUGCAUGCUAUGUUAUCUUUGGCCUUGGCUAGUAUAUGUUCACAUGACUACUUUUUUCAAGAUACACACUCCCAGAUCUCAAUCUUUACCCAAAUAUUAUAAUUCAUGAAUAUCUGGUGAAAGUGUCCUGUGUGCACUUCCCCUAAUGCAGAAAUGAAAUCCUUGAAGACGAUUGUUUUAGUAAGCAAGUAUGACCUUAGUCACUUGUUUACUUGCUUUAGUAAGACCUGUUUGGCACCAUAAACAUCCACAUAUCUAACACAGAAUUUCCCAGGGAGGUUCCACGUGGAGCAGUAUAGCAUGGUGGAUAAGUGUGAGGGCUUGGGACUACUGACUGCUCAAAUUUUACCUCUGUUGUUUGAUGUUGGGCAAGUCAAUUAAUCUCUCUCUGUGCUUCAGUUUACUAACCUGUAAAAAAGGCUAAUAUAAAUUACCUUACAUGGCUGUUAUGAAGGUUAGGUUAAAUGACAAAACACAUGUAGUGUGCUUAAGCACAGUGCUUAGCAUAUAAUAAGUAUACAAUUAUUGGUAGUUAUUAUAUAAAUUUCUUCCUUGAACAUAAACUUUGGGAAGUGAUGGCCCUGGAUAGUGUCUCUCUUACUAUCAUGUCCUUGUGCUCAGCUUCUGAGGCUUAUGAAGAUGCCCUGGGCACAGAGACUCAGGCUGUCUCCUGGCCCACAGAGUGCGGAACAAGUGGGAGCUUGUAAGCUAAGUAGGAUGUCAUUUUGAGUCACUGCUGCUCUAAUCUCUUUAGACAGUUCUGAAGAACAAUUGGAUUCCCUUCAGUUUUAAUUUCCCUACCUUCUCAGAUAAAUUUUCCAAAUGUCCACUUCCCAUUUCUUCGAUCAAAGCCAGAGUUGAAGGAAGCUGGCCUUCAAUCUCCAACCAGGCUGAGAGCACCAUUUGAGCUCAAGAGCAAAUUGUAUUGGAAAAGAAGCAGAACCACUGACUAAAAUGAAUUGUCAUUAAAUGAGGCUUUAAAUGAAACCACAAGGCAGAGCCUCAUCCUAAUUGGCAGUGGAGUUAAUCGGGUAAGAGGCCAAUUCCAGAUGUCCCAUUGCAGAACUUUUAAAACUCGCUCCCUGCUUCUUUUACUUUCUGCCCCUAACCACCUCUUUCCACCCUCACACCGCCUUUGAAAGAUGAUGAUCAUUGGGCAAAGAUAACACUGAACUAUUUAACAUCUUUUUAAAAUCUAUAAUCUAUAAAUUGAAUGCAGGAAUAGAAAAUGUCAGAACCAUGAUACAAUUUGAAAUGUUUCAUGUGGUAGGGUGGAUAAUGGUACCCCAAAUAUGUCCAUGUUCUAAUCCGUAGACUGAAUAUGUUACUUUACAUGCAAAAUAAACUUUGCCUAUGUGAAUAAGGUAAGAAUCUUGGUACAGAAGGAUUAUCCCAGAUUAUCCAGGUAGGCUCAGUGUAAUCACAAGGGUCCUAAUGAGAGAGAUGAGGAAAGAGUCAGAGGCAGAGGAGCAGAUAUGAUGACAGAAGCAGAGAUUGGAGUGACGACAUAGAAGGUGGAGGAAGGGGCCAAAAGCCGAGGAAUACAGGCAGGCACAGGAAGCCACUUGUCAGCUGAAAGAGACAAGUAAAUGGAUUUUCCCUUCCAAGCCUCCAGAAGGAACUAGCCCUGCCUGCACCACAACUUUAACCCAGUGAGACCCAUUUCAGACUACUGACCUCCAGAACCAUAAGAAAAUAAAUCUGUGUUGUUUUAAGCCAACUGUCUCCCAAAUACUCCCAGAUAUGCUGUAGAGCUGGAAAUUUCCCAAAUUAGAAGUAUUGCUUUGGAUGAUAUCAAUGAAGGACACAAUUGUUAAAAAGCUUCCACUGAAAUGCAAAGGGAAAUGUGUUAGGCAACAUUCAACCUGUUAUGCCUUGAUCUGACUGGCUGGCAGAGAGCACGGAAGAGGACCCAAGAUGCAGGGAUUUCUGGGCCUUGGGGCAUGAAAUUGAUGGGUGGGAUCUGUGUGGCUGGAUGCAGCAAGUGAUGCCUGGGAUGAGAGGAUGCCACAAGGGAGAGAGCCUGAAAACAAAAUCCCAUUUAUCACACUUCUUCUUGAGUUUUCACCCAGUGAAAAACUCAAUGCUUCGGAUGUGAGCAUCACCUUUGUCACUAAUCCAGCUUCAAACCUGUUCCAUAAAGCUCCUGGUAAGCUUAAAGAAAGAAAUAGCUUUUUGCGCUUAUCUAGACUCACAAACUCUCUGACUUGAGACUGACUUCUCUUUGGUCUACCCUUGUAGGAUUUGGUCUCCUUUUGGUAUUCCAAUGUCUUCCAACUUCUACUGCCUAUUUUGGACUCCUGGUCUCCUCUAACUUCAGCUCUUUGGGCUGCCUGCCAGGCACAUUUCUGUUCUUUCUCAGAGGCUUGAGUGUCCUCCUUCCAAGAAUUCUUUGCCCUAACCUGUAAACCAUUGCCUCCCAGCCCCUGGCACCAAAGCCACCAUUAGACCCUGAUUAGGAGACCUCUCAGAUUCUUUAUGAGAUGACCCUGAGAGGCAAUUAUCCUCCACACUGCACACUUUCCAGAGUACUUUGGCCUUUAUAAUAAGAAGUAGCAGAUUUACAGAUGAAGGAUCUUCAAUCCCAAAACCUGCUCUCUCUGUCUGCAACGAACAUACUCCAUCACUUGCUUUUCCCUACCUCUGAUCUCACUCCCAGAGCACUGCAACGAAAGUCCAGAAAAGUGAGGGUCUUUGAACCCAUUAGUAGCUCCCCAAGCCCCAUAUCCACUUGUAGUUUGAUGAAAAUGAGAAGCAUGGAUCUGAUCAGUUGGGCCUUUAUAGAUGCAUGUCAGAUCCACAUGAAUAAUAUGAUCUUCGAGCAACCCAGAAAGGAGAGAGUUUCUGUUUCUCAAGUCCCUUGCCUCAGAGUCAAUACAGUGAUACCAUCCAAGAAAGGAUCUGUAGCCUAGGAUAUAUAACAGAUUCACUUAUUAUGCUGUCAGGACGCCUGAGGCAAAUCCAUCCAAAUGUGAGUGCUGACUUCUUAGGAACUGGACAAGUGAGCUCAGGUACUGUAAAGGAGCACCUAUGACUUGUUUACCAGGUCUAAGUUGCACAAUCACAAGAGCCCAAGAAUAUCAAAUAAUCCACAUCAAAUUUUCAAACAGCCAGACAUGAUAUGUUCUCAAUUCCCAGGCCACGUUUAUUAUUAAAUGAUGUUCUAGCCCUUUGACAAUACCUGCUAUUAGAACCAGGGCUUGGGUGGUGGUGGAACAGGCCACAGUGGCAUAGACAAGACCUGGGAAUUCAGGAAGUUUUCCUUGGUCAGGAGAAGUCUGCGGCUGGGACAAGUAUGAUGUAGUUUGGAUGUUUGUCCCCUCGAAAUCUCAUUUUGAAAUGUAAUUCCCAAUGUUGGAGGUGGGGCCUGAUGGGAGGUGAUUGAAUCAUGGAGGCAGCUCCCUCAUCAAUAGCUUAGCACCAUCCACUUGGUGAUAAGUGAGUUCUUGCUCAGUGAGUUUGCAUGAGAUCUGAUUGUUUAAAAGAGUCUGAGACC
This 9297-nucleotide long non-coding RNA is filed under the name Homo sapiens (human). RNAcentral's name for it is "HSALNT0408687". Lineage: Eukaryota; Metazoa; Chordata; Mammalia; Primates; Hominidae. The record is from RNAcentral.